UGGGCCCGUAGCUCAACUGGACAGAGCAUCGGCCUUCUAAGCCGAGGGCUGCAGGUUCGAGUCCUGCCGGGCUCACCAA
Molecule: transfer RNA, 79 nt
Filed under: Coprothermobacter proteolyticus DSM 5265
Lineage: Bacteria; Pseudomonadati; Coprothermobacterota; Coprothermobacteria; Coprothermobacterales; Coprothermobacteraceae
Description: tRNA-Arg
Rfam family: tRNA
About the family: Transfer RNA (tRNA) molecules are approximately 80 nucleotides in length. Their secondary structure includes four short double-helical elements and three loops (D, anti-codon, and T loops).
Source: RNAcentral